CCUGCAGGAAAGGACAUCAACCGAGACUCCGCAAGUAGUGGCGAGCGAACGCGGACCAGGCCAGUGGCAAUCAAAGUUAAAGCGGAACGAUCUGGAAAGUUUGGCCGUAGCGGGUGACAGCCCCGUACGCGUAGAUGCUUUGAUUGUCCUAGAGUAGGGCGGGACACGAGAAAUCCUGUCUGAACAUGGGGAGACCACUCUCCAAGCCUAAGUACUCGUGCAUGACCGAUAGCGAACAAGUACCGUGAGGGAAAGGUGAAAAGCACCCCGACAAGGGGAGUGAAAUAGAACCUGAAACCGGAUGCCUACAAACAGUCGGAGCCCGCAAGGGUGACGGCGUACCUUUUGUAUAAUGGGUCAACGACUUAGUGUAACAAGCAAGCUUAAGCCGGUAGGUGUAGGCGAAGCGAAAGCGAGUCUGAAUAGGGCGAUUUAGUUUGUUGCAUUAGACCCGAAACCGAGUGAUCUAGCCAUGAGCAGGUUGAAGGUUGGGUAACACCAACUGGAGGACCGAACCCGCAUCUGUUGCAAUAGAUUGGGAUGACUUGUGGCUAGGGGUGAAAGGCCAAUCAAACUCGGAAAUAGCUGGUUCUCCGCGAAAUCUAUUUAGGUAGAGCGUCGACCGAAUACCCCCGGGGGUAGAGCACUGGAUGGGCUAUGGGGACUCACCGUCUUACUGAUCCUAACCAAACUCCGAAUACCGGGGAGUACUAGUCGGCAGACACACGGCGGGUGCUAACGUCCGUCGUGAAAAGGGCAACAACCCUAACCUCCAGCUAAGGUCCCCAAGUCAUGGCUAAGUGGGAAAGGAUGUGAGGAUCCCAAAACAACCAGGAUGUUGGCUUAGAAGCAGCCAUCAUUUAAAGAAAGCGUAACAGCUCACUGGUCUAAAUAAGGGUCUUUGCGCCGAAAAUGUAACGGGGCUGAAGCCAUGCACCGAAGCUGAGGAUGUGUAGCAAUACACGUGGUAGCGGAGCGUUCCGUAAGCCUGUGAAGGGAUACCUGUGAGGGGUCCUGGAGGUAUCGGAAGUGCGAAUGUUGACAUGAGUAACGAUAAAGAGGGUGAGAGACCCUCUCGCCGAAAGACCAAGGGUUCCUGCUUAAAGUUAAUCUGAGCAGGGUUAGCCGGCCCCUAAGGCGAGGCAGAAAUGCGUAGUCGAUGGGAACCACGUUAAUAUUCGUGGGCCUGGUGGUAGUGACGGAUUGCUCAACUUGUUCAGACUUAUUGGAUUGUCUGGGCAGGGACGCGGUUCCAGGAAAUAGCUCCACCGUAUAGACCGUACCCGAAACCGACACAGGUGGUCAGGUAGAGUAUACCAAGGCGCUUGAGAGAACUAUGUUGAAGGAACUCGGCAAAUUGCACGCGUAACUUCGGAAGAAGCGUGACCCCAUGAUACGCAAGUAUGGUGGGGUGGCACAGACCAGGGGGUAGCGACUGUUUAUCAAAAACACAGGGCUCUGCGAAGUCGCAAGACGACGUAUAGGGUCUGACGCCUGCCCGGUGCUGGAAGGUUAAGAGGAGAGGUGCAAGCUUUGAAUCGAAGCCCCAGUAAACGGCGGCCGUAACUAUAACGGUCCUAAGGUAGCGAAAUUCCUUGUCGGGUAAGUUCCGACCUGCACGAAUGGCGUAACGACUUCCCCGCUGUCUCCAACAUAGACUCAGUGAAAUUGAAUUCCCCGUGAAGAUGCGGGGUUCCUGCGGUCAGACGGAAAGACCCCGUGCACCUUUACUAUAGCUUUACACUGGCAUUCGUGUCGGCAUGUGUAGGAUAGGUGGUAGGCUUUGAAGCGGGGACGCCAGUUUCCGUGGAGCCAUCCUUGAAAUACCACCCUUAUCGUCAUGGAUGUCUAACCGCGGUCCGUUAUCCGGAUCCGGGACAGUGUAU
Molecule: ribosomal RNA, 1886 nt
Filed under: Rhizobium sp. T136
Lineage: Bacteria; Pseudomonadati; Pseudomonadota; Alphaproteobacteria; Hyphomicrobiales; Rhizobiaceae
Description: bacterial LSU rRNA
Rfam family: Bacterial large subunit ribosomal RNA
Source: RNAcentral